GCACAAGCGGUGGAGCAUGUGGAUUAAUUCGAUGCAACGCGAAAACCUUACCUACCCUUGACAUGUCCGGAAUCCUGAAGAGAUUUGGGAGUGCUCGCAAGAGAACCGGAACACAGGUGCUGCAUGGCUGUCGUCAGCUCGUGUCGUGAGAUGUUGGGUUAAGUCCCGCAACGAGCGCAACCCUUGUCAUUAGUUGCCACCAUUCAGUUGGGCACUCUAAUGAGACUGCCGGUGACAAACCGGAGGAAGGUGGGGAUGACGUCAAGUCCUCAUGGCCCUUAUGGGUAGGGCUUCACACGUCAUACAAUGGUCGGUACAGAGGGUCGCCAACCCGCGAGGGGGAGCCAAUCCCACAAAGCCGAUCGUAGUCCGGAUUGGAGUCUGCAACUCGACUCCAUGAAGUCGGAAUCGCUAGUAAUCGUGGAUCAGCAUGUCACGGUGAAUACGUUCCCGGGUCUU
RNAcentral lists this ribosomal RNA (459 nucleotides) under uncultured Rhodocyclaceae bacterium. Its description in RNAcentral is "bacterial SSU rRNA". It matches the Rfam family "Bacterial small subunit ribosomal RNA", at positions 923 to 1382 of the family's 1533-position model. Lineage: Bacteria; Pseudomonadati; Pseudomonadota; Betaproteobacteria; Rhodocyclales; Rhodocyclaceae. The record is from RNAcentral.